GACGAACGCUGGCGGCGUGCUUAACACAUGCAAGUCGAACGAUGAAGCCCAGCUUGCUGGGUGGAAGAGUGGCGAACGGGUGAGUAACACGUUAGUAACUUGCCCUGCACUCUGGGAUAAGCACUGGAAACGGUGUCUAAUACUGGAUACGACCUAUCACCGCAUGGUGUGUGGGUGGAAAGAUUUAUCGGUUCUGGAUGGACUCGCGGCCUAUCAGCUAGAUGGUGAGGUAAUGGCACACCAUGGCGACGACGGGUAGCCGGCCUGAGAGGGUGACCGGCCACACUGGGACUGAGACACGGCCCAGACUCCUACGGGAGGCAGCAGUGGGGAAUAUUGCACAAUGGGCGCAAGCCUGAUGCAGCAACGCCGCGUGAGGGAUGACGGCCUUCGGGUUGUAAACCUCUUUUAGUAGGGAAGAAGCGAAAGUGACGGUACCUGCAGAAAAAGCACCGGCUAACUACGUG
Molecule: ribosomal RNA, 467 nt
Filed under: uncultured bacterium
Lineage: Bacteria
Description: partial 16S ribosomal RNA
Rfam family: Bacterial small subunit ribosomal RNA
Source: RNAcentral